UUUUUUUUUUUUUUGAGACAAGUUCUCACUCAUGGUGGAGUGCAGUGGUGCAAUCUCGGCUCACAGCAACCUCUGCCUCCCAGACUCAAGCAAUCCUCCCACCUCAGCCUCUGAGUAGCUGGAACUACAGGCUCACGCCACCACACUCAGCGCUUUUUUUUUUUUUUUUUUUUUUUUUGGAGACGGAGUCUUGCUCUGUCGCCCAACCUGGAGUGCAGUGGUGCGAUUUCACCUCACUGCAACCUCUGCCUCUCCAGUUCAAGCGAUUCUCCUGCCUCAGCCUCCCAAGCUGAAGCAAGAGGACCGCCUAAGCCCAGGAAGUAGAAGCUACAGUAAGCCAUGAUUGCACCACUGCCCUACAGCCUGGGCAACAAAGUGAUACCUGGUUUCAAAAAGAAAAAAAAGAAAAGAAUGUAGAAACUUCAAUCUUUACCUCAUGCCACACACAAAAGUUAACUUGAAAUGGAUCAAAGACCUAAAUACAAAAGCUGAAAAUUAUAAAACUUUACAAGAAAAUAUAAAAGAAAAUCUUUAUGAUGCUGAGGUAGGCAAAAAUAUUUUUAGACAAGACACAAAAAAUACAAAUCAUGAAGAAAAAGCCAGACUUCAAAAGAAUUGAAAAGUUCUGCCUUUCAAGACACUGUAAAGAAAAUGAAAAACCAAACUCAAGAUAGAUAGAUAGAUAAAGACAGACAGACAGACAGAUCAGACAGACAGACCGACAGACAGACAAACAGAUAUAUAGAUAGAUCUGACCAAAAAGAAAGUGUAUCCAGAAUACAUACAGUAAACUUUUACAAUAUAACUUUUUAAAAGCUAAUUUUAAAACAGCAAAAGAUUUGAACGUCAACUUCAGAAAGACAUGCUAAUGGCCAAUGAACAUGUAAAAAGAUGCACUACCUCAUUAGUCAUUGGGGAAAUACAAAAUAAAUUCACAAUGAGACAACAAUACACAGUUAGAAUGGUUAAAUAAAAAAUGCAGGCCAGCCAGACAUGGUGGCUCAUGCCUGUAAUCCCAACACUUUGGGAGGCCAAAGCAGGAGAAUCACUUGAGCCCAGGAGUUCAAGACCAGCCAAAGUAACAUAGUGAGACUCCGUAUUUGCAAAAAUAAAAUUUCUUUUUGCUUAGCCAGGCAUAGUGGCAUAUGCCUGUUGGCCCCGCUACACAGUGAACUAAGGCAGAAGGAUUGAGCGAGCCCCGGAGUUCAAGUCUGCAGUGAGCUAGGAUUGCACCACUUUACUCCAGCCUGGGUGACAGAGCAAGACCUUAUCUCAAAAACAAACAAACAAAUAAACAAUAACAACAAAAUACUUACACUAACCAUAUGACCCAGCAAUUCCACACGUAUUUACCCCACAGAAAUGAAAACAUAUGUCCACACAAAGACUUAUACACAAAUGUUCAUGGUAGCUUUAUUCAUAAUAGCCAAAAACUGAAAACCCAAAUGUCCACUACAUGUGAAUUGUGUUUAUCCAGACAACAGAAUACUAUGCAGCAAUAUUGAUGAAAACAACAUAGAUGAAUAUCAGAACAUGCUGAACAAAAGAAGUCUGACACAAAAGAGUACACAAUACCUGAUCCCAAUUACACAAAACUCUAGAAAUGAGUUUAUGGUGACAGGAGAUAAGAUGUUGUUGGGGAUUAGGGGUGAGGGAUAGACUGGGAGAUAAGAACACUUUUUGGAAUGAUGGAAAUGUUCUACACCCAGACCUAAACACUGGCUUCUAAAUACUCUUCUCACUUAAGAAGUCGUCAAGACUCCUCCUUGGAAAUCAUCAGAGAAAGCAUAAAAAUGAAGAGGGAAAGUAGACAGUAAGCCUAGAAAAACUUGUGCCACAAAGGAAGUGCUCAAAAAAUUAAUGGGGAUAUGUCAGAAAGGGGGAAAGGAAGAUGAAAGCACGCCAACAAAUAAGUAUAGAAAGAUGAUAGAAAUAGAAAAUCACCAUUUAUAAUCACAAAAAUAAUAACUGAUUCAGGCUAUAAUUAUCAAUGGAUACUAAAACCAUUGGAUUUAAGUUUGAUGGAGAACAGGAUGUAGAGAAUCAUGGCAGAAAACAGCUUACCAAAUCGUCAAACUAGCACCAACAAUAACUGGGCAAACUUGAUAUCAUGUGCCUCUUCUUGCAUUACACCGAAAUGGCUAAAGUAUCGCCUAUGUACUACUAGCUGAAUCAUGAGAAAGCUGUUGGACAAAACUAAAUUGAGGGAUAUUCUGUAAAACAACUGGCCUGGAUACUUCAAAAACUAUCAAUGUCAUAAAAGACAAAUAAUUAGUUUAAGGAACUGUCCUAGAUAAAUCAAAAGAGAUUUAAAGAGAUACAGUAAGUAAAUAUACCACUUCCUCCUUGAUUGGGUCCUCAUUUUGUAAACAGCUAUAAGCCAGAGGCAAUGGCUCAUGCCUAUAAUCCCAGAACUCUG
Molecule: long non-coding RNA, 2419 nt
Filed under: Macaca fascicularis (crab-eating macaque)
Lineage: Eukaryota; Metazoa; Chordata; Mammalia; Primates; Cercopithecidae
Description: lncRNA (ENSMFAG00000052562.1)
Source: RNAcentral